RNAcentral lists this small RNA (249 nucleotides) under Pseudomonas guineae. RNAcentral describes it as "Pseudomonas sRNA P17". It matches the Rfam family "Pseudomonas sRNA P17". Lineage: Bacteria; Pseudomonadati; Pseudomonadota; Gammaproteobacteria; Pseudomonadales; Pseudomonadaceae. The record is from Rfam by way of RNAcentral.
GCAAGGAGUUGGUGGCCCACUCCAGUGACUAUAUCGAUGGUCAGAUGGGGCUGCAUAAGCGUCUGUCCGUGCGUAUGCACCUGACCAUGUGCGUCAAUUGCCGGCGCUUUAUUAAGCAGUUGCGCCUGGCCCAGGGGGUGCUGCGCCGCUUGCCGCGUGGGCAGAGUGCCGAGUUGGAUGCGCUGGCUGGCAAGCUUGCCGAGUUGCGUCGCCAGCAGCGCUGAGUGCGCUGCUGGCGAAUCGGUUUUA